This 240-nucleotide ribosomal RNA is filed under the name Triticum aestivum (bread wheat). RNAcentral's name for it is "partial small subunit ribosomal RNA". The record is from RNAcentral. Lineage: Eukaryota; Viridiplantae; Streptophyta; Magnoliopsida; Poales; Poaceae.
AUGAUGGUCGAACUUCAAAGGCAUGUCAUGUUUCCUACUGUGUAUCGCCUCAUGGAGUUGGCAUUGCUACUACCGGUAGCGACGACAACAAUCGAAAGGGCCUUCUCAUCAAUGAAAAUCAUCAAGAUUGAGUUGCGCAGCAAUAUGACAGAUGGUUGGCUUAAUGACUUGACGAUUUGUUAUAUUGAGCGAGAGAUCUUCAAAAGUAUUGAUCUUAGUAAAAUCGAGGAAGAUUUUUAG